AUCUGCUCAUCUCGGGCAGCCUGGGGGCAAGAGUGUCCUUCCUGUCCUGUGCCCUCCUGGCUUCUGCCUGUCCCGGGGGAUUGCAGGAUCUUGGGCUGUGUCCCUGGCGCCCUGUACUCCCGGGCCUGCGCUGUUGGAAU
RNAcentral lists this microRNA precursor (140 nucleotides) under Canis lupus familiaris (dog). RNAcentral's name for it is "miRNA (ENSCAFG00000053497.1)". The stretch from base 75 to 140 matches the Rfam family "mir-8799 microRNA precursor family", at positions 1 to 65 of the family's 90-position model. Lineage: Eukaryota; Metazoa; Chordata; Mammalia; Carnivora; Canidae. The record is from RNAcentral.